GGGAAGGCACUCCACUCAAUGGUUUCCCGCACAUUCAAGAAGGAGGAAGCAGUUCCGCAGGCUCGCGGUGCGGCAGUGUGGAGACCUGUCGUAAUGCGGUUCAUUCUACGGGAAUGACGCGAGGCAGCAGGGAGAAGUCCCGUCUGCCAGAGCAAUACGCUAUGU
This 165-nucleotide non-coding RNA is filed under the name bovine gut metagenome. Its description in RNAcentral is "malK-I RNA". It matches the Rfam family "malK-I RNA". The record is from RNAcentral.